GGUAAUAAUACCAUUUCUUCUUAUGAAUAGCUUAGUAGUUAGAUGGCAUAAGAAGAAUUCAAAUUAGGACCCAACAAAAUGGACCCGUUUUCAGGCAGUCUGUAGAUAAGUGGGUUGAAGAAGCACACAGUUCCGUUUCUUAUCCUGGGAUGUUCUGCUGUGCUCUGCAGCCUCAGACAUUGAUGAGUCCUCGGUGAUGCAACUGGCUGAGAUGGGCUUCCCUUUGGAGGCCUGCAGGAAGGCUGUGUACUUCACGGGGAAUACUGGAGCUGAGGUGGCCUUCAACUGGAUUAUCGUGCACAUGGAAGAGCCUGAUUUUGCUGAACCACUGGCCAUACCUGGGUAUGGAGGGGC
RNAcentral lists this long non-coding RNA (354 nucleotides) under Rattus norvegicus (Norway rat). RNAcentral describes it as "long non-coding RNA NONRATT015211". The record is from RNAcentral. Lineage: Eukaryota; Metazoa; Chordata; Mammalia; Rodentia; Muridae.